GUUAUAUUGAAAUGAGCAAAGGAAUGCAAACAAGUACCAAAUAUGUGGACAUGGAGGGUUGUUGUGAUAGAGUUGCCAAUGUUAACUAAUUUCAAGAAAUGGAAGCUGGCAAGACUGUCCACCUCAAUGAUGUAGCGCGAUCCGAGAGCGUGCAACAUAUAAAUUGUGGCUACCAUUAGUUUAUUGAAAACAUGGCUAUAAAAGGGUAGCAUCAGAUAAAAAGUAAAAAGAACAACCGAAGAGGUGUGUGCCAAUGGCGUUGGGAAGCAACACGUCAAGACAUCAACAGAUAUAAUAGGCGAUGGUUAGAAAUAGGAAGCAUCAGGAAUUAUGCAUAUGCUAGCAUGCGAAGGGCAUGAUCCAUCCUGGAGUAUUCAUGGCCCAGCACUCUAUCACCAUAUGCUUGCUUGUUACUCUCAUUGGGUAUGCCAGUUGCAAUGUGCAUGGUGCUAACUAGCCGCCAUGCUACCGUCCAGAUAGUCAGGUACAGUUUGCUAAGAAACACUGCUAAUUAGUACCACUUAUCCUUCGUUUAAUUUGGUUAUCUCCCAUAUUGCUCUUGAUGGCACUAACUGUCUAUAGUUGGCCCACACAGAUUUGCCGUGCGUCACAGUUGGGUGAACUGCCUCGUAACACCACAUUGGCUCUCCUCUGGCUGAGAUAGGGACCUCGAUAGCACCUGUCUCCAAGGAACCCUUGCUAUGAGGUUGCACCAUCUCGCAAAGAAACCCUCGUCGCCCUGUCGAAGCCCAUCAAUAUGACCCCACUGCCACUUCUGCGGUGGUAAACAAGCCGGCAAGGUCGAUCCCUUGGACACCCUCACAGGGAUUGCUUACGUGUCACCCUCGACCACCCUGGAAAUGGUACCACAAUAUUCGUCUUACAAGGCCUAAGGAUGACUACAUACUCAGUCAACGAUGGAGUAGCCUCGAAGCUGGCCCUAACAACACCAUAGGGGCCCGUGAAGAAGCGGCCCUCUAGAAGAGGAACCCUAAUGGUGUCAAGUCGAUAGUUUGAGACUAGGCAUCAGAUGACGGAGAUGCCACACCCAAGUUUUUGUAUACUAUGGUGUAAAUAUUGUUUCACCGCGGCCCAUGGUAUGAACUAUUAAAUACCAUACGCUGUGGCUAAUAUUGUACAGAUAAUGGAUAAAUGGCCAUUUACUCUUAUGUUAAUUGUGUCCACCAGUGUCACCUUCACUCAUUUCCUUUUUAAUUUGAUCCAAUUGGGUCACCAUUGGCUUCCACCCCACGGACUACCAAUGAGGGUCUAGAAGCACAGUAGAACCCCACAGUUAGCCACUACAGACAGAGACAUUAAGUAUGGACACGUAUUGACUAAUGAUUACCAGGAGAACUCACUUUACAGACUACCACCUGAAAACAUUGCAAUGGUAUAGGUCGCCUUAGGCCAACAAUUAACUCCAUGUACU
This 1432-nucleotide long non-coding RNA is filed under the name Sorghum bicolor (sorghum). Its description in RNAcentral is "long non-coding RNA (SBIC_LNC014965)". Lineage: Eukaryota; Viridiplantae; Streptophyta; Magnoliopsida; Poales; Poaceae. The record is from RNAcentral.